GAUGAACGCUAGCUACAGGCUUAACACAUGCAAGUCGCAGGGUAACAUGAGGAAAGCUUGCUUUCCUUGAUGACGACUGGCGCACGGGUGAGUAACGCGUAUCCAACCUUCCCAUAACUACGGGAUAACCCGUUGAAAGACGGCCUAAUACCGUAUGAUAUCGUUUGCUGACAUCAAAUAACGAUUAACGGUUUAGCGGUUAUGGAUGGGGAUGCGUCUGAUUAGCUUGUUGGCGGGGUAACGGCCCACCAAGGCGACGAUCAGUAGGGGUUCUGAGAGGAAGGUCCCCCACAUUGGAACUGAGACACGGUCCAAACUCCUACGGGAGGCAGCAGUGAGGAAUAGUGGUCAAUGGGCGAGAGCCUGAACCAGCCAAGUAGCGUGCAGGACGACGGCCCUAUGGGUUGUAAACUGCUUUUAGGUGGGGAUAAAGUGCGUGACGUGUCAUGCAUUGCAGGUACCACAUGAAUAAGGACCGGCUAAUUCCGUG
RNAcentral lists this ribosomal RNA (490 nucleotides) under uncultured bacterium. RNAcentral describes it as "partial 16S ribosomal RNA". It matches the Rfam family "Bacterial small subunit ribosomal RNA", at positions 28 to 507 of the family's 1533-position model. The record is from RNAcentral.